RNAcentral lists this non-coding RNA (726 nucleotides) under Betatropis formosana. Lineage: Eukaryota; Metazoa; Arthropoda; Insecta; Hemiptera; Achilidae. The record is from RNAcentral.
AAAAAGUUUGAUUUUUGCUUAUUUUUUUAUUUAUUUGAAUUUAAUGCAUUUAAAUUUUUUUAAGUUUAUUAUUUCUAAAUGAUUAAUUUAUUAUUUUUAGUGUUUUAUUUUUAGUUUUUAUAGUUUAAUUUAAGAAAUUUAAUUUAAAAUGGAAUAAUGUUGUGCCAGCAUUCGCGGUUAUUCAACACAUUUGAAAUAAUAUUUUUGGUAUUCAGAUUUUUUUUAAUAUUUUUGUAUUUAGGUGAAAUUUAUAUUUAAAAUUCUUUUUCUUUCUGUCUAGUCUUGAUAAAAAACCAGGAUUAGAUACCCUGUUAUUCUUGGAUAAUUUAAUUAGCUUGGGGAGUAAAUUUAUUUUAAAUUCAAUGGAUCUGGCGGUUUUUAAAUCUUAUUAGAGGAACCUGUAAUUUAAAUGAUAAUCCACGAUUAAUAUUACCUUUUUUUUCUUGUAUAUCUCUGUCGUUGAAUGUAAUUAAAAUUAAUUUUCUUUUUUUAUUUUAAAUUUAUGUUAGGUCAAGGUGCAGUUAUAAUUGGGUUAUUAUGGGUUACAUUAAUUUUUUUUUUUUGAUUAAUUAUUUUAGUAAAUUUUUUGAAUUUGGAUUUAAAAGUAAUUUUUUUUAUUUAGAAUUUUGAAUUAAGCUCUUAAUAAUGUACAUAUCGCCCGUCAUUCUCAUAAAUUGAGACAAGUCGUAACAAAGUAGAUGUAUCUGAAGAUGUAUCUAGAAUCAG